GCAGCUGGAGAAGGCGGCCUGGCGCUGGGCGGAGACGGUGCGGCCCGAGGAGGUGUCGCAGGAGCACAUCGAGACCGCUUACCGCAUCUGGCUGGAGCCCUGCAUUCGCGGCGUGUGCAGACGAAACUGCAAAGGAAAUCCGAAUUGCUUGGUUGGUAUUGGUGAGCAUAUUUGGUUAGGAGAAAUAGAUGAAAAUAGUUUUCAUAACAUCGAUGAUCCCAACUGUGAGAGGAGAAAAAAGGUAAACCAUCAUUUUUUAAGCGAUUGCUAUAUGCUGUUUUUUGUUUUUGUUUUUGCUUUUGUUUUGGGCCGUGAUCAGAAAACUACUGAUUUCAGGUAACCUGUGCAGCUUUAAGAUAAGCAGUAGAACUUAAGACUCUAAGCCACUUGAAUUGGAACACUUCUUAAUGAUAUGCUUUAAAACAGGCAGCUGCGUAAUU
This 440-nucleotide small RNA is filed under the name Pan troglodytes (chimpanzee). RNAcentral's name for it is "processed transcript". Lineage: Eukaryota; Metazoa; Chordata; Mammalia; Primates; Hominidae. The record is from RNAcentral.